Molecule: ribosomal RNA, 321 nt
Filed under: Xiphinema diversicaudatum
Lineage: Eukaryota; Metazoa; Nematoda; Enoplea; Dorylaimida; Longidoridae
Description: eukaryotic LSU rRNA
Rfam family: Eukaryotic large subunit ribosomal RNA
Source: RNAcentral
GGGAGUCUAACGUAAGCGCGAGCUAAUGGGUGGAAACCCAUAAGCGCAAUAAAAGUAAAAGUCGUCUCGGACGGCUUAGGUACGAUCCCGCAGGGCGAAUAAUCCUCGGGCGCAGUACCGUCCCGUCCCGACCGCUCGUCGGUAGGGCGGAGAUAGAGUGCAUACGUUGGGACCCGAAAGAUGGUGAACUAUGCCUGAGCAGAGCGAAGCCAGAGGAAACUCUGGUGGAGGUUCGUAGCGGUUCUGACGUGCAAAUCGAUCGUCAGACUUGGGUAUAGGGGCGAAAGACUAAUCGAACCAUCUAUUAGCAAAAACCAUUCG